This 599-nucleotide ribosomal RNA is filed under the name Salmonella enterica. RNAcentral describes it as "partial 23S ribosomal RNA". It matches the Rfam family "Bacterial large subunit ribosomal RNA", at positions 24 to 666 of the family's 2925-position model. The record is from RNAcentral. RNAcentral also lists the same sequence under 1 other name. Lineage: Bacteria; Pseudomonadati; Pseudomonadota; Gammaproteobacteria; Enterobacterales; Enterobacteriaceae.
GUGGAUGCCCUGGCAGUCAGAGGCGAUGAAGGGCGUGCUAAUCUGCGAUAAGCGCCGGUAAGGUGAUAUGAACCGUUAUAACCGGCGAUACCCGAAUGGGGAAACCCAGUGUGACUCGUCACACUAUCAUUAACUGAAUCCAUAGGUUAAUGAGGCGAACCGGGGGAACUGAAACAUCUAAGUACCCCGAGGAAAAGAAAUCAACCGAGAUUCCCCCAGUAGCGGCGAGCGAACGGGGAGGAGCCCAGAGCCUGAAUCAGCAUGUGUGUUAGUGGAAGCGUCUGGAAAGGCGCGCGAUACAGGGUGACAGCCCCGUACACAAAAGCGCAUGUGCUGUGAGCUCGAUGAGUAGGGCGGGACACGUGGUAUCCUGUCUGAAUAUGGGGGGACCAUCCUCCAAGGCUAAAUACUCCUGACUGACCGAUAGUGAACCAGUACCGUGAGGGAAAGGCGAAAAGAACCCCGGCGAGGGGAGUGAAAAAGAACCUGAAACCGUGUACGUACAAGCAGUGGGAGCACCCUUUGGGUGUGACUGCGUACCUUUUGUAUAAUGGGUCAGCGACUUAUAUUCUGUAGCAAGGUUAACCGAAUAGGGGAGC